This 92-nucleotide transfer RNA is filed under the name Acidimicrobiales bacterium. RNAcentral describes it as "tRNA-Ser". It matches the Rfam family "tRNA". Rfam says of the family: Transfer RNA (tRNA) molecules are approximately 80 nucleotides in length. Their secondary structure includes four short double-helical elements and three loops (D, anti-codon, and T loops). The record is from RNAcentral. RNAcentral also lists the same sequence under 2 other names. Lineage: Bacteria; Bacillati; Actinomycetota; Acidimicrobiia; Acidimicrobiales.
GGAGAGGUGCGAGAGCGGCCGAAUCGGACUCACUGCUAAUGAGUUGACUUGGGAAACCGGGUCCGAGGGUUCAAAUCCCUCCCUCUCCGCCA